Molecule: non-coding RNA, 99 nt
Filed under: Paramoeba aestuarina
Lineage: Eukaryota; Discosea; Flabellinia; Dactylopodida; Paramoebidae
Source: RNAcentral
GGAAAGAAGUUGUUCACCUUUUGCACUAUGGAGUCGCCGGGAACACAGAUCUUUCGAGUUUACAAGACCAUCCUGGAGAUGAUGAAAGACAGGAUGUAC